Molecule: unclassified non-coding RNA, 356 nt
Filed under: Drosophila yakuba
Lineage: Eukaryota; Metazoa; Arthropoda; Insecta; Diptera; Drosophilidae
Description: GE28578
Source: RNAcentral
CUCAUUAGUUAUAUGUGAUUUCUGGGCAGGGCUCAAGCUUAACAGCUAAAUCGUAUAGAGGAAUUUGUAAUGAACAAACUCCAGUUGUAGUCACACUGAAGACAAGGAUGAAUUCGCAGCUCGAAGAGAACACAUCGCGAUUAAGUUUUUGAAUUGGGAGCCUUUUUUUUACUUUAAGCUAAAAUAAUAGUUUGUUUGACUAUGUUGGACACCAUGUUGUUGCUGUAUUGCAAGUCGAAAUUGUAGGCGAGAUAUUUUACCUCAUGCUUUGAAAACGAAAGCAAGAUGAGUUUGCCAUACAAUGAACUAUAUUAGUAGGCGAUGUACCGAAACUGUAUGAAUUUAGCUUUCCUCAG